AAGCUUACUCUUCUUUUAAAUCACAAACAAUGACCAUUUUUCAGGUUGUGUAUUGACUUUUUCGUUUGCUGAUCAUUGCAGGCAAAUUAUGAUGAAGUGUACGCUUUCCUCUUAAGGUCCCAGGAGACUUUCCUCCCCCCACACAUUGUGGACAUUGCUUCUUUUAUAAGCAGGUUCUAAAAAAUAAGUGCAGGAGGAACUCAGUUGGCUGACUCAAUGCUUUGCAUUAUAUGGUCACUCCUUAUAGGUUUCUGAUCUCUUGUUGCUUAGCAACAUCUACACAGAUAUAAUUUCCAUCCGGUAGUGAAAUCAAGUACUUUUGGCCUCUGUCAACAUCAAGAUUAGCUGAUCUCUAGAGACCCCACACAGCCAAGGACACUUGUUGCUAUUUUAAGAGAGAAGAGGCUCUCUUCUUCUUGCAUGCCUCUUCUCUUUUUUGUUUAUCAAUUGCUGCGUAACAGAGUGCCCUAAAAAAACUCCUUAUACAGUCUGUAGUUUGCCAAGGCUCGGCUGGAUGGCUAUGACAUUUGAUCCUUCAUGAAACUGCAGUAAGAUGGCAGCAGGAGCUAGAGUCUUCUCAAAGCCAGACUAGGCUGGACAUCCAAGAUGGCUUCUUCCCUCAAGUGACUGGUGCCUGAGCUGGGAUGGCUGGAGCAGCUGGAGACUGGGCAGACAUCUCCCUUGCCACAUGGCUAGGUUGGGCUUCACAGCAUUGGCUUGCAGGAGGCAGGGUGUGUGAAAGAGGCAGUGGGAGUGAUCCACUCAUGGGAAGGGAUAUGUUAUCGCUGAGCCUUGUUUAGAAUUGCUUGUGCAUGCUGAUAAGAAAAGGAAGACCAACUUUUAGUUGGUUUUAGUAAACUUUUUAAAUUCUUUAUAGACAAUGCAUCCCUUUAAUCUCUGUACUUUUAAGUGGACCAUUCCCACUGCCCCCAGCCUUGGUACACCACUUCCUCACAGCAUGGCUGUUUCCAGAGAGUUGGACUUUUUGCCUCAUGACUAGCCUCCCCCAGAGCCUUCCAGGAAGAAAGGCAAAAUCUGUGAGCCUUCUUAUGACCUAGCCUCAGAAGCCACAGAGCAUUGCAUCCCCUGCACUCUGUGGGGGCAAAAGCAAGUUGGAGGACCAUCCUGGAUUCAUGGGGAGAAGACCAAACAAGUGUGAGUGCUGGAAAGGAGACUUCCCUGUGGGCCAGCUUUGGAGAUGAGUGACCACAUUCUCCAUUACCAUUUGCUCCACGUGGUUCAGAACCACAUGAUUAUUUAACCAAAGCUCGGGUUGACUACACUUCAACUAACUGGAACCUACUGUAACGGAAUUUAGAAUGCCUCAAACUGGAAACAAAUGUCCAUCAACAGGAAUGUAGAUUCAUACAAUGGAAUAUUCAAGCAUAAAAAGUAUGAACUACUAAUACAUAAAACAACAUGGACAAAUCUCAAAAACAUCAUGUUGAAUGAAAGAAGCCAGACUCAUAACAGUACUCAUUAUAUAAUUCCAUUCCUACGAAAGCCAAAUACAGAUCUUCAGGAAAAGUUCUCUACAUAUAACCAAUUUAUCUAUGUUAGUGGUACAUUGAGGAGGUGUCCAGAGACAAAGAGACAAGACAGCAAAUGAAUGGACAAGAUGCUGUGAGGGAGUAGGAUUCAGAAGAAUGUCCCAGAGCACAACACAGCCUGGAAUUCACAGAAAUACUGGGGAAAAGGCACAGUGGACUUCCCACUUUCCGUGGAUGGGGUCUCGACCCAUUUUAAGAGGCUAUUAAAGGAAAAAUUGACUGCAGGAGGCAGGUCAACUUGGAAACAUGGGAUAUAUUUUUUUAAAUUUUAGGCAUGGAGAUAUGGAAGGAUGCAUAGAGGCCUGGUAUAUAACUAAGAGCAGGGACUCUGGAGUCCGAGGGUCUGUGUUGGAAUCCCAACUUUGCCACUUAUAACCAUGUACUUUUGCGCAAGUUAUUAAAGCCUCUGAGACUCCAUUUCCUUCUCUGUAAAUAGGGAAAUAAUAAUACCUCAUAGGGUUGUCAAGAGGAGUAAAUGAAGCACAAUUGUAAAGUGGAUGGACAGGAGCUUAGUGUAUACAAAUUGCUGUACAAUAGCUUGUUAAAUAAUAUAAAUAAAUAUGCAUCAAAAUGUUAAGUGUUUUUUGAUGAAUAUAA
RNAcentral lists this long non-coding RNA (2147 nucleotides) under Homo sapiens (human). RNAcentral describes it as "HSALNT0209557". The record is from RNAcentral. Lineage: Eukaryota; Metazoa; Chordata; Mammalia; Primates; Hominidae.